GAACGGCUUCUUCUUAAAGUCGGGAGCUUCAUCUUCGCUUACACAAGAGUUCAAGUCGAUCUCGCAUCUAAAGUUAGAAACUUUGGUGGCUCUCUCGGUCUUAACAAGCUCAACAACAUCGUCAUUGUCCUCGCAGGGCAUGUUCAUAUCGAAAAGUAUAUGUGUUACCUUGUUUUCUACCUCCUUCACUUCAAAAGAUGCUUCUUUCUUUGGAAGGAGAUGUGCACUUCGGAAAAUCGGAAAGCCAAGAAUUUUACCAUUACAGCCUGUAGAGUCGUCAAUCUCCUUAUUCCUACUGGACUCAGGAUUAGUAGAUUGAGAGGCUGAUUUCUUAUUACCAUGCCAAACAGGAUGAUUAGAAGAUCCCAAGAAGCUCGAUUUCCCUG
This 386-nucleotide long non-coding RNA is filed under the name Linum usitatissimum (flax). RNAcentral's name for it is "long non-coding RNA (LUSI_LNC001377)". The record is from RNAcentral. Lineage: Eukaryota; Viridiplantae; Streptophyta; Magnoliopsida; Malpighiales; Linaceae.